AACGCUGGCGGCAGGCUUAACACAUGCAAGUCGAGCGGGCGUAGCAAUACGUCAGCGGCAGACGGGUGAGUAACGCGUGGGAACGUACCUUUUGGUUCGGAACAACACAGGGAAACUUGUGCUAAUACCGGAUAAGCCCUUACGGGGAAAGAUUUAUCGCCGAAAGAUCGGCCCGCGUCUGAUUAGCUAGUUGGUGAGGUAACGGGCUCACCCAAGGCGACGAUCAGUAGCUGGUCUGAGAGGAUGAUCAGCCACAUUGGGACUGAGACACGGCCCAAACUCCUACGGGAGGCAGCAGUGGGGAAUAUUGGACAAUGGGCGCAAGCCUGAUCCAGCCAUGCCGCGUGAGUGAUGAAGGCCCUAGGGUUGUAAAGCUCUUUUGUGCGGGAAGAUAAUGACGGUACCGCAAGAAUAAGCCCCGGCUAACUUCGUG
RNAcentral lists this ribosomal RNA (433 nucleotides) under uncultured bacterium. RNAcentral describes it as "bacterial SSU rRNA". It matches the Rfam family "Bacterial small subunit ribosomal RNA", at positions 32 to 507 of the family's 1533-position model. The record is from RNAcentral.